This 243-nucleotide ribosomal RNA is filed under the name uncultured bacterium. RNAcentral's name for it is "partial small subunit ribosomal RNA". It matches the Rfam family "Bacterial small subunit ribosomal RNA", at positions 26 to 285 of the family's 1533-position model. The record is from RNAcentral.
AGAAUCAACGCUGGCGGCGUGCCUAACACAUGCAAGUCGAACGAGAAAGUGGAGCAAUCCAUGAGUAAAGUGGCGCACGGGUGAGUAACACGUGACUAACCUACCCUUGAGUGGGGAAUAACCUCGGGAAACCGGGCUAAUACCGCAUAAUAUCGAAAGAUCAAAGGAGUAAUCCGCUUUUGGAGGGGUCGCGGCUGAUUAGCUAGUUGGUAGGGUAAUGGCCUACCAAGGCGAAGAUCGGUA